RNAcentral lists this ribosomal RNA (253 nucleotides) under uncultured bacterium. Its description in RNAcentral is "partial 16S ribosomal RNA". It matches the Rfam family "Bacterial small subunit ribosomal RNA", at positions 524 to 776 of the family's 1533-position model. The record is from RNAcentral.
UACAGAGGGUGCAAGCGUUAACCGGAAUUACUGGGCGUAAAGCGCGCGUAGGUGGUUCGUUAAGUCUGAUGUGAAAGCCCUGGGCUCAACCUGGGAAUGGCAUUGGAAACUGGCGACCUAGAGUGCGGUAGAGGGUAGUGGAAUUCCCGGUGUAGCAGUGAAAUGCGUAGAGAUCGGGAGGAACAUCCGUGGCGAAGGCGACUACCUGGACCAGCACUGACACUGAGGCACGAAAGCGUGGGGAGCAAACAGG